UUGAAAUUUUAAGUUAAGAAAAAGAACAUGUUAAGUAAGAAUUGAGAAGAAAAAGGGUUUAACAGAGAUAGAGAAAGGCAAUUUCAUUAAGAAAUAAUUUGAAAUAGUCUAAGAAAAACUGAAGAAUUUAGAGUUCGAGAGUCUUAGAAUAUGAGUUUGGAACCUCAAGUCUUUUCUAGGCAAUUUAUGGUUAUUCGAGUUGUUGUUGGUAUUGUUAAGUGCCGAAGGGUCUGGUGAAGUUUUUGAGCUCAGUUUUUCAAAUCAAUUUGGGUUGUUCAAUUUAUUUUGAUUGGCUUCUUGUUCAAUUGGAGUUUGAUCAUCUACUGGGUUCGAUUGGUGUUAUUUCUGGACCGAUUAUUGUUAACUGAUGUUGCUGUGUUGCUUGCUACUGUUGCUGCUUCUCAUCUUCCUUUCUAUUAUUUUCAACACGAGGUACACAUAUUUGACCUCAUGAUUGAUGUAAUCUUCACUUGAGAAUGAAAUGAAGGGUUGUUUCGAGUCUAUGUUUAGUAUGAAUGCUUGUGGAUGCAAUUAGUUUAUAAAUGGAUAGUUAUUUAAUUUCAGUGCAUAAGAACUGUUUAAACUUAGACUAUUUAACUAGUACUGUUUCUAUUGUUUAAACUUGUAAUGGACUUUCAUAGACUAUUCAAUUAGCUCAAUUUGUUUCUAUGAAUAUGUGAAUUCUCCGGUACGUGAUCUUAUUCGGUUUAAUGCGUUACUAGUACAGUAUAGUAUAGUGUAAUGAAGAUCCAAAUUUCAAUAAGGGUGAAAAAGAGUUCUAGUUUCAAUGCUAAUUUGAACAGACCAAUUUUCUAUUUUAAAUCAGAAAUUGCAUAUAAGUAGAAAUAACUCGGCCCUUAAUUACUAAUUAAAGUAGUGUUAGAAUUCGAGUUGAUUAGUCAUCAAUUUAUCAGUUCGUGCUAAUAUUUUACCACUAGGCAUGAGUUGGGUUGAACAUGACGUGUUAACAUUUCUUUGAAUAUUAACGAUAAUAGA
This 996-nucleotide long non-coding RNA is filed under the name Nicotiana benthamiana. Its description in RNAcentral is "long non-coding RNA (NBEN_LNC042327)". The record is from RNAcentral. Lineage: Eukaryota; Viridiplantae; Streptophyta; Magnoliopsida; Solanales; Solanaceae.